This 585-nucleotide ribosomal RNA is filed under the name uncultured bacterium. Its description in RNAcentral is "partial 16S ribosomal RNA". It matches the Rfam family "Bacterial small subunit ribosomal RNA", at positions 355 to 1375 of the family's 1533-position model. The record is from RNAcentral.
UGGGGAAUUUUGGACAAUGGGCGAAAGCCUGAUCCAGCAAUGCCGCGUGUGUGAAGAAGGCCUUCGGGUUGUAAAGCACUUUUGUCCGGAAAGAAAUCCUUGGCUCUAAUACAGUCGGGGGAUGACGGUACCGGAAGAAUAAGCACCGGCUAACUACGUGCCAGCAGCCGCGGUAAUACGUAGGGUGCAAGCGUUAAUCGGAAUUACUGGGCGUAAAGCGUGCGCAGGCGGUUUGCUAAGACCGAUGUGAAAUCCCCGGGCUCAACCUGGGAACUGCAUUGGUGACUGGCAGGCUAGAGUAUGGCAGAGGGGGGUAGAAUUCCACGUGUAGCAGUGAAAUGCGUAGAGAUGUGGAGGAAUACCGAUGGCGAAGGCAGCCCCCUGGGCAAUACUGACGCUCAUGCACGAAAGCGUGGGGAGCAAACAGGAUUAGAUACCCUGGUAGUCCACGCCCUAAACGAUGUCAACUAGUUGUUGGGGAUUCAUUUCCCUAGUAACGUAGCUAACGCGUGAAGUUGACCGCCUGGGGAGUACGGUCGCAAAGAUUAAAACUCAAAUGAAUUGACGGGGUCAUAGCUGUUUCCU